Non-coding RNA from Miniopterus natalensis, 3336 nucleotides. The record is from RefSeq and is a predicted model, not a curated record. Lineage: Eukaryota; Metazoa; Chordata; Mammalia; Chiroptera; Miniopteridae.
GCGCACCGACCAAUGGCAGCGAGCUUUACUGGGCGGGUAGCCAGCUGUACCCGCGGCCAAUAGGCGAGAGACUUCUUGUUUCCUGGCAGAGCGGGGUCCCGGCACCGCGGCGCUCGGGUUUUGUUUGGGUCCUGGGUGGAGGGCCUCGGUGCCGGGGCCCGAGGUGGCGCCUCGCUAGCGGGAGAGGAGAGGGAGCGGGAUCACCGGCCCAGAGAGAGCUCUCAGGGCCCGAGUGGAGCAGGAGGAUGCUUUCCCAGCCCCACCAUGGAGCUGCGCUGUGGGGGACUGCUGUUCAGCUCUCGAUUUGACUCAGGAAACCUAGCCCAUGUGGAGAAAGUGGAAUCUGUGUGUAGUGAUGGGGAAGGAGUAGCAGGGGGCGCAUUAGCCCCCACCAGCGGCACUGCCUCUGCCCCUGACUAUGAGUUCAACGUGUGGACCCGACCAGACUGUGCUGAAACAGAAUUUGAGAAUGGGAACAGGUCAUGGUUUUACUUCAGUGUCCGGGGAGGAUCUCCUGGGAAACUCAUCAAGAUCAAUAUUAUGAACAUGAACAAGCAAAGCAAGCUGUAUUCCCAGGGCAUGGCCCCCUUUGUGCGUACACUGCCCACCCGGCCACGCUGGGAACGCAUUCGAGACCGGCCCACCUUUGAGAUGACAGAAACGCAGUUUGUGUUAUCCUUUGUUCACCGUUUCGUGGAGGGCCGUGGGGCCACCACCUUCUUCGCCUUCUGCUACCCCUUCUCCUACAGUGACUGCCAGGAUUUGCUAAACCAGCUAGACCAGCGCUUUCUGGAGAACCACCCUACCCAUAGCAGCCCUCUGGAUACCAUCUAUUACCACCGAGAAAUCCUUUGCUAUUCUCUGGAUGGACUUCGUGUAGAUCUGCUAACAAUCAGUUCCUGCCAUGGGCUUCAAGAAGAUCGAGAGCCCCGUCUAGAGCAACUAUUUCCUGAUAUCAGCACCCCCAGACCAUUCCGUUUCACAGGCAAGAAGAUAUUCUUCUUAAGCAGUAGGGUACACCCCGGAGAGACUCCAUCUAGCUUUGUCUUCAAUGGCUUUUUGGACUUCAUCCUUCGACCUGAUGAUCCCCGGGCCCAAACCCUACGUCGCCUCUUUGUUUUUAAGCUGAUUCCCAUGUUAAACCCUGAUGGUGUGGUCCGGGGCCACUACCGCACAGACUCACGUGGAGUGAAUCUAAACCGUCAGUACCUGAAGCCUGAUGCAAUCCUGCACCCGGCCAUCUACGGGGCUAAAGCUGUGCUCCUCUACCACCAUGUGCACUCCCGUCUGAACUCCCAGAGUCCCUCUACGCAACAGCACAGUCCUCAUCUCCGUCCUGAUGCCCCCCUUUCUGACCUUGAGAAAACCAACAAUCUCCAAAAUGAAGCUCACCUUGGGCACUCAUCUGAUGAGGAUAAUCCUGAGGGCUGGCCACAGACUGAGCCAGCAGAAAAGAAGGCCAGCAGUGUGUGGAUUAUGCCCGAACAGUCCACUGAGGUUGAACAGCCAGCCCCUGACACCAUCCCCCCCAAAGAGAGUGGUGUUGCUUACUAUGUGGACCUGCACGGACAUGCUUCCAAAAGGGGCUGCUUCAUGUAUGGAAACAGCUUUAGUGAUGAGAGCACCCAGGUGGAAAAUAUGCUGUAUCCAAAGCUCAUCUCCUUGAACUCAGCACACUUCGACUUCCAGGGCUGCAAUUUCUCAGAGAAGAACAUGUAUGCCCGAGACCGCAGAGAUGGCCAGUCUAAGGAGGGAAGCGGCCGGGUUGCAAUCUACAAAGCCUCAGGGAUAAUCCACAGCUACACACUUGAAUGCAACUACAACACUGGACGCUCAGUAAACAGCAUCCCUGCCGCCUGCCAUGACAACGGGCGUGCCAGCCCCCCUCCCCCGCCGGCUUUCCCCUCCAGAUACACUGUGGAAUUGUUUGAGCAGGUGGGACGAGCUAUGGCCAUUGCAGCUCUGGACAUGGCAGAAUGCAAUCCAUGGCCCCGAAUCGUGCUGUCAGAGCACAGCAGCCUCACGAACCUCCGGGCCUGGAUGCUAAAACAUGUGCGUAGCAUUCGAGGCCCGAGCAGCACUCUGAACAUGGGUGUCAACAAGAAGAGAGGCUCUCGAACUCCACCCAAAACUAACAAUGGAUUGCCUGUUUCCUGCUCUGAAAAUACCUUGAGUCGAGCGCGAAGUUUUAGCACUGGCACAAGUGCUGGCGGUAGCAGCAGCAGCCAACAAAACUCUCCACAGAUGAAGAACUCCCCCAGCUUUCCUUUUCAUGGCAGUCGGUGUGCAGGGCUGCCAGGCCUGGGCUCUAGCACCCAAAAGGUCAGCCACCGGGUGCUGGGCCCCAUGAGAGAGCCCCGAAGCCAGGACAGGAGACGGCGACAGCAGCCACUCACCCAUCGCCUUACCUCAAGCAGCCUGGCCCCAUCCCCAACUCCUGCCAGUUCUAGCCCAGCCUCCUCACGCAAUAUGGGCUCCUGCCUACUGCCCAAUUCACUCAGCCUAUCAGGGAGCAGCUGUUCACUCCUGUCCUCAGGGGAUAAGUCAGAGGGUGUCAUGGUGAUUGGGAAAGGUCUACUAGGAACUGGACCUCGGAUCCCCUGUAUCAGGACCCGAUUGCAGACCUGCCCGAGGAGAGUUCCCGCCAGGAGGGGUCCCGGAUUCCCCAGGCUAGGCCCAGGUUGGGCCGGGGCUCACCGCCGACUCGCAGAGGGAUGAGAGGCUCUUCAGGCCCCACAUCCCCUAUCCUCCGGACCAGGGAGAGCAGUGAGCCGGAGCCGGGACCCCGCUUUGCACCAGGGCUGCCUCAGGCUGGGCCCCCACGGCCCCACUCUGCCCCUGCCAUUUCUCCUAUUUCCUGUAGUCUAUCUGACUCCCAGUCUCGGACUUGUUACAGCAGGGGGCCCUUGGGCCAACCUGAGGUUUGUUUUGUCACUAAAUCUCCCCCAUUCACUGUUUCUCCUCGGGUCUGAUGCCUUGACCUUCAUGCCCAGGAUACAGCCACAAGAUGGGGAACACAGUGAGAAAUGUGCUAGUUCCCUCCCUCAGCUGCUGAUUCCAUGUGACAACUAUAACUCCUUGGAAUGCCACCCACACUGUUCUGAGGCAUCGCAAAGCAUCACCUUGAGACAGGACAAAGCAGGGAAUGUGCCACGCCUUCCCUCCCUCCACAGCACAAGAUUUUGGGACCACAAAAAAAAAAAUCUAUAUUUUUAUAUCGGGGGGAGGGAGUAGAAAAGAAAGCAGCCCCUAUACUGGGCCCUACUCAGUGGCAGCUUCUUGUUCCGUAGGGUUAAGGAAGACUUUGAGGAAAUAAAAGUUGUUUGGAAAAAUCCA